CCUACGGGUGGCUGCAGUCGAGAAUCAUUCACAAUGGAGGAAACCCUGAUGGUGCGACGCCGCGUGGGGGAAUGAAGGUCUUCGGAUUGUAAACCCCUGUCAUGUGGGAGCAAAUUAAAAAGAUAGUACCACAAGAGGAAGAGACGGCUAAAUCGGUGACAGCAGCCGCGGUAAUACAGAGGACUCAAGCGUUGUUCGGAAUGACUGGGGGUAAAGGGUGCGGAGGCUGUUUCGUAAGUCGUGUGUGAAAGGCGCGGGCUCAACCCGCGGACGGCACAUGAUACUGGGAGACUAGAGUAAAGGAGGGGGAACCGGAAUUCGCGGUGUAGCAGUGAAAUGCGUAGAUAUCGAGAGGAACACUCGUGGCGAAGGCGGGUUCCUGGACAUUAACUGACGCUGAGGCACGAAGGCGAGGGGAGCGAAAGGGAUUAGAUACCCCUGUAGUC
This 446-nucleotide ribosomal RNA is filed under the name uncultured bacterium. Its description in RNAcentral is "partial 16S ribosomal RNA". It matches the Rfam family "Bacterial small subunit ribosomal RNA", at positions 338 to 795 of the family's 1533-position model. The record is from RNAcentral.